CCCCGGCCCGAUCCCCACCCCGAGGUCCAGGACUCCCCAUUGUCGCCUGACCCUGAUGACAGUGUGGAGGAGUAUGACUCGGAUGCCACCGUGGAGAACCUGAUACCCGGUUCUCCUGACCCGUGGGCUUUUGGACCGAGGCCGAGGCAGAGGCCUCUCAAUGACACAGCGGU
RNAcentral lists this long non-coding RNA (173 nucleotides) under Homalodisca vitripennis (glassy-winged sharpshooter). Its description in RNAcentral is "uncharacterized LOC124365638". The record is from RNAcentral. Lineage: Eukaryota; Metazoa; Arthropoda; Insecta; Hemiptera; Cicadellidae.